CUUCAAUCGAUAGGACGUUCUGCUGCUUUACGUCAACAUUCUUCAACGAUUACGGAACUCCGGCUCGGAUUAACGCCGUCAAAGUGCUAGUCAAAAACGUUCCGGACUUCAGCGCUUCCCAGAAAAGGGCUUCCUGACGAUCGAUCUCAAUACCUAUCUCAAUCAGGUGGGACAUAAUCAUCCUGCGAGGCGAAAACGCCCUGCUGGGCUUCAAGAACAUGAACACCAAGUACAUACUUUUCUGGGACGAUGGCAAUGAGGCCACCAGAACGUGACGUUGAUCCUUUCCUUGAACAUCGUUCCAAAUGCAGGACUGCUUCCGAAUUUAUUUGUUCACGGACAUCAGACGUUCAAGUUCCCGGAAACCUACAUGCCGUCGCCUGUCUAAAAAAACUAGAAAAUUGACACAAAAACACCUACAAGAGCUUAUCGAAGAUUAUAAAAGAGCUAAAAAAACGAAUCGAUACUUAAACAAGCCACCAAAGGAUUCGUUUUCAGCCGAACUGUAGCUGACGAUGCAGCAUUUUCAUUUACCCUAUUCUAAUUAUUUGGUUUUUGUUUGUAAAUUGAAGCAAUCAUCAAUGAAAAAACCAAACUUUAGGAACAUCUGGUCGAAAGGAUCCCUAGAACCGUGUGCACUUCUUCCUUAGUUCUUCAGAUAUGUAUGUUUAGAUAAAAGUAAAAAAAUUUCGAAAUAAAAUAAAAUUUGAA
This is a long non-coding RNA of Uranotaenia lowii, 711 nucleotides long. RefSeq lists it as uncharacterized. NCBI's taxonomy places the organism in Eukaryota, Metazoa, Arthropoda, Insecta, Diptera, Culicidae. The record is from RefSeq and is a predicted model, not a curated record. The transcript has 3 exons.